Molecule: non-coding RNA, 75 nt
Organism: Caranx melampygus (bluefin trevally)
Lineage: Eukaryota; Metazoa; Chordata; Actinopteri; Carangiformes; Carangidae
Source: the annotation of a GenBank genome assembly
GGCACAGUGGUACAGUGGUUAGCACCGUCAUCUCACAGCAGGAAGGUUCUGGGUUUGAUUCCCACGCCUGUGUCC